Molecule: ribosomal RNA, 247 nt
Filed under: uncultured Gardnerella sp.
Lineage: Bacteria; Bacillati; Actinomycetota; Actinomycetes; Bifidobacteriales; Bifidobacteriaceae
Description: partial 16S ribosomal RNA
Rfam family: Bacterial small subunit ribosomal RNA
Source: RNAcentral
GAGUAAUGCGUGACCAACCUGCCCCAUGCUCCAGAAUAGCUCUUGGGAACGGGUGGUAAUGCUGGAUGCUCCAACUUGACGCAUGUCUUGUUGGGAAAGUGUUUAGUGGCAUGGGAUGGGGUCGCGUCCUAUCAGCUUGUAGGCGGGGUAAUGGCCCACCUAGGCUUCGACGGGUAGCCGGCCUGAGAGGGCGGACGGCCACAUUGGGACUGAGAUACGGCCCAGACUCCUACGGGAGGCAGCAGGU